Molecule: transfer RNA, 37 nt
Filed under: Neogale vison (American mink)
Lineage: Eukaryota; Metazoa; Chordata; Mammalia; Carnivora; Mustelidae
Description: Neovison vison partial tRNA-Thr
Source: RNAcentral
GUAAACCAAAAAUGGAGAACCCUAUCUCCCUAAGACU